AUUGAACGCUGGCGGCAUGCCUUACACAUGCAAGUCGAACGGCCGCACGGGUGCUUGCACCUGGUGGCGUUUGCCGCACAGGGGUGAAAUACACGUGGACAACCCCUCUAGUGGACUGGAGUAACUUCAAGGCCCGGUAGCUACUGCCUACUAAUAUCGUAUGCAGCCGGGGUCCAUACUGAAAGCGGGUUUUGCGGUUGGUCGUUGGUUGAUUAGCUCGUUGGUGGGGUAAAGGCCUACCAAGGCGACGACCAGUAGCUGGUCUGUGAGGAAGAUCAGCCAAACUGGGACUGAGACACGGCCCAGACUCCUACGGGAGGCAGCAGUGGGGAAUUUUGGACAAUGGGCGAAAGCCUGAUCCAGCAAUGCCGCGUGUGUGAAGAAGGCCUUCGGGUUGUAAAGCACUUUUGUCCGGAAAGAAAUACUUGGCCCUAAUACGGUCGGGGGAUGACGGUACCGGAAGAAUAAGCACCGGCUAACUACGUG
RNAcentral lists this ribosomal RNA (486 nucleotides) under uncultured bacterium. RNAcentral's name for it is "partial 16S ribosomal RNA". It matches the Rfam family "Bacterial small subunit ribosomal RNA", at positions 30 to 507 of the family's 1533-position model. The record is from RNAcentral.